Long non-coding RNA from Mauremys mutica (yellowpond turtle), 1978 nucleotides. RefSeq lists it as uncharacterized. The transcript has 3 exons. The record is from RefSeq and is a predicted model, not a curated record. Lineage: Eukaryota; Metazoa; Chordata; Testudines; Geoemydidae.
GGCAAAAAACAUAGCGCAGCCCCUGCUCCUACCCCAAAGCCAGGGGUUGGCUGGCAGGACCGGUUGGCAUACCAUUUGUAGGUAGCUUUGGCAACGCCUAACUGCUUCUGGAGUUCUUGACGUACCUGCUGGAUGUGGGUUCUGAGUUUGGUAAAAGUGGCCAUCAAUGAUUUAGAAGGGAUCUCUGGAUGAGCACAAAGAUGGAAACCACAGUUAGCAAAGAAGGGAGUCUGCUUGGUGGAGGCAUGCAUAGCAUUGUUAUAUGCAAACUCAGCAUGAGGGAUUAGGGACAGCCAAUCAUCCUGAGGAUAGUUUAGGAAGAAAUGUAGGUACUGUUCAAGGACCUGAUUGACACGCUCUGCCUGCCCAUUGAUGCUGGAGUGAUAGGCUGUUAAGGUUAGGUCUUGAUACUCGGGAAGUGUAGAAAUUCUUGCCAGAAGCAGGAAAUAAACUGGAAUCCUCAAUCAGACACCAUGCCCAUUGGGAUUCUGGCAUAGUCUUUCAAGAAUGCUACACACAUGUUGGUCAUGAAGAGCUGGGUCUUUGGAGAAAAUCAGAAUGUGAUCAAGGAUAUGCACAGAGAAAAUUCCAGCUGAGAGAAACUUAGCACAGCUGCUACCAGCUCGGUCUGAAGAAAUCUCCCUUUGUAGAGCUAUACCCAGUGGACAAAAGGAGUCAUCUUAUAUGAAAGAGACCAAGUCAACUUGUAUGUAUUCAUGUAUAGAGAAUUAACUCAGUUUUAAAAUACCAUUUUCUAGUAGUGCCUCCUUGAAAUAGUUUGUUCUGUAUGGGAGCUACAAGUGAUCAAUACCUCCGAGAACAAAACAAUACUGAAAACAAGGUUAUAAAUGUCUCGUUCAAACCACACAGUGAGUCACCAUCCAGAACCAGAACUCAAGGGACUUCCAGCCCCAAGCUCUAGACACCAAAGUUGCCUCAUUUUGUACAUAGAAAAAGAACACAAAAGUGCAUCUUGCCCUGUGACAAGGCUCCAGUUGCAAAACUGAAAUCCAUCACACGAACUCCCUCUUCUCCCACAACUAACAGUGGCAAAUCUUGGGUAACCCACCCACCCAUUCCAGAAUCCAUUAAACCCUCCUCCUCACUCUAUCUGAGGGACCUGAAAAAAUUAUUUUGUUUGGGGAAAUAAUUCAGGAAGACGAUGUGGGCAAGAAGAGCCACAAACAACAAACAAGGCAGAUAUAAAUCCAGAUAAAAUAUUAAAAUCGUUAAAGGGUUGCUGCUCCCCGAAGGUUGGAAAAAAUGAAGACAGUUAAUUAAAAGCAAUCUCUGCACAGUGCUGAGCCAGCCAGCCCUGAUAAAUCAGCGACUAGGACUGCAGUUGUAGAGGUCAAUGGAGUAAGGAGGCUGGGAAGGGGAGGGAAGAAAGGUGAGAGAAGAGAAAACAUUUAGCUCAAAUUACCAACAAAAAUGAAUUAGAGUCAAUGACGAAGUUUCCUAGAUAUUUCCCUUCCAGAGAUUGUGGGUUUGAUUCUCAUUUCCUUAACACCUAUUUCACAAUGAUACACCAGUGAUCUCAAUGAAGUUACUCCACACCAGCAGGAGAGCAGAGAGAGAAAAAACUGAGGUCUCAUUCUACCUGAGGGGUGGUAGCAUCACUCUCAUCAGCAUGAUGUCCAAGCACCGUACAGAACUAUCAAGUUUUCCAGGCUGGCACAUCCCAGGUGACAAAGAAAUGAAAGUUGAGGGUUUGUUGGGAGUUUGUUUAUCACCAGCCACCAGGAAGUUGCAGCAGAGACAUCUCAAUACUGCCCAAACUGCAGUCAAACCACUCAGAGAGGAGAGAGCUCAUUCUGAAGUAUCGCCACCCUUUUCUCACACCUGCCAGGUCUCUCAAACUGUGCAGGCCCAAAUAUAAGGGGCACUGGCCAGUUUAUUUAAACUGUUAUUGAUUUGUUGAUGUUAAAUAUUAAACAAGUAUAUGUUGAUAAACUGACAAGUAAAAUGAAAACGAUAA